GACAAGGUGCCGGAGAGGUUAACGGGAACGCCUAGAACUUUCGGUUCUACACUGACUCAGUGACAAGCGUUUGGUCUUUGACCGCACAGGUUCGAAUCCUGUUCUUGUCG
Non-coding RNA from Malassezia arunalokei, 110 nucleotides. NCBI's taxonomy places the organism in Eukaryota, Fungi, Basidiomycota, Malasseziomycetes, Malasseziales, Malasseziaceae. The record is from the annotation of a GenBank genome assembly.